AGUGAACGCUGGCGGUAGGCCUAACACAUGCAAGUCGAACGGCAGCACAGUAAGAGCUUGCUCUUACGGUUGGCGAGUGGCGGACGGGUGAGGAAUACAUCGGAAUCUACUUUUUCGUGGGGGAUAACGUAGGGAAACUUACGCUAAUACCGCAUACGACCUACGGGUGAAAGCAGUGGAUCUUCGGACCUUGCGCGAUUGAAUGAGCCGAUGUCGGAUUAGCUAGUUGGCGGGGUAAAGGCCCACCAAGGCGACGAUCCGUAGCUGGUCUGAGAGGAUGAUCAGCCACACUGGAACUGAGACACGGUCCAGACUCCUACGGGAGGCAGCAGUGGGGAAUAUUGGACAAUGGGCGAAAGCCUGAUCCAGCCAUACCGCGUGGGUGAAGAAGGCCUUCGGGUUGUAAAGCCCUUUUGUUGGGAAAGAAAAGCAGCAGGUUAAUCCCCCGCUGUUUUGACGGUACCCAAAGAAUAAGCAACGGCUAACUUCGUG
This 492-nucleotide ribosomal RNA is filed under the name uncultured bacterium. RNAcentral describes it as "partial 16S ribosomal RNA". It matches the Rfam family "Bacterial small subunit ribosomal RNA", at positions 29 to 507 of the family's 1533-position model. The record is from RNAcentral.